Molecule: unclassified non-coding RNA, 139 nt
Filed under: soil metagenome
Description: partial internal transcribed spacer 1
Source: RNAcentral
UCAAAACAGCGGCCUUCGGGCCUCGCUGCACCCUUGUCUUUUGCGCACCGUAUUGUUUCCUCGGCGGGCUUGCCUGCCGGUUGGACAUCAUAAAACCUUUUUGUAGUCGCAAUCAGCGUCAGAAAAACAAUAAUUAUUA